GAUGAACGCUGGCGGCGUGCUUAACACAUGCAAGUCGAACGAAGCACUUUAUUUGAUUUCCUUCGGGACUGAUUAUUUUGUGACUGAGUGGCGGACGGGUGAGUAACGUGUGGGUAACCUGCCUUGUACAGGGGGAUAACAGUUGGAAACGGCUGCUAAUACCGCAUAAGCGCACAGCAUCGCAUGAUGCAGUGUGAAAAACUCCGGUGGUAUAAGAUGGACCUGCGUUGGAUUAGCUAGUUGGUGAGGUAACGGCCCACCAAGGCGACGAUCCAUAGCCGACCUGAGAGGGUGACCGGCCACAUUGAGGCUGAGACACAGCCCGAACUCCUACGGGAUGCAGCAGUGGGUGAUAUUGCACAAUGGGCGAAAGCCUGAUGCAGCGACGCCGCGUAGGCGAAGAAGUAUGUCGGUAUGUAAAGCGCUAUCAGCAGGGAAGGUAAUGACGGUACCUAACUAGGAAGCACCGGCUAAAUACGUG
Molecule: ribosomal RNA, 481 nt
Filed under: uncultured bacterium
Lineage: Bacteria
Description: partial 16S ribosomal RNA
Rfam family: Bacterial small subunit ribosomal RNA
Source: RNAcentral